AACGCACAUUGCGCCCUUGGUAUUCCAAUUGGGCAUGCCUGUUCGAGCGUCAUUGUACCCUCAAGCUAUGCUUGGUGUUGGGCGUCUUUUCUGCCUUGGUAGGACUCGUCUUAAAGUUAUUGGCAGCCGCUUUGCCAGCUUCUUGCGCAGCACUUUGCGCUUUGAGAAGUUUUCGGUGAGCGAGCGUCCACUAAGUCUUUCCAAGUUUGACCUCGAAUCAGGUAGGGAUACCCGCUGAACUUAA
Molecule: unclassified non-coding RNA, 244 nt
Filed under: uncultured fungus
Lineage: Eukaryota; Fungi
Description: partial contains 5.8S ribosomal RNA, internal transcribed spacer 2, and large subunit ribosomal RNA
Source: RNAcentral